CAGGGAGACAACAAAAUGUUUAAUAUUAUUAUUUUGUCACCUUAGGUCGAUCGGUAUCUCACGUUCUUAAUUAAUUAAGAAUUUCAUUUCCUAAGUUUUUCUAGGUCACACCCAUUAUUUUUCCUGGGCCAUUAGCUCAGGUGGUUAGAGCGCACCCCUGAUAAGGGUGAGGUCCCUGGUUCAAGUCCAGGAUGGCCCAUAUCUCUAUGUUGGGGGUAUAGCUCAGUUGGUAGAGCGCCUGCUUUGCAAGCAGGAUGUCAGCGGUUCGAGUCCGCUUACCUCCACUGAUUACCACCUCUUCCAUAAUCUGUAGAAAGGAAAUGUUUUGAGUUGUGAUCAAAUUCUGAACGAAUCUAGCUUCCUAAUGAAAGUAUUAAGAUGCUGGACUCAUUGAAUUAAUUUCAUUGUUUUCAGAGAACCUUGACAACUGCAUAGAUUAUUUUUUAAAGACAAUAAGCAUCUUUAAUGAUGCAGAUUUAUUAUUUGUGCGAAUGCAUUAAUAACAAUUCUAUUAAGCUGAUGCUUCAUUUUUGAAGUUAUU
Molecule: transfer RNA, 541 nt
Filed under: uncultured Prochlorococcus sp.
Lineage: Bacteria; Bacillati; Cyanobacteriota; Cyanophyceae; Synechococcales; Prochlorococcaceae
Description: partial 16S-23S ribosomal RNA intergenic spacer
Rfam family: tRNA (bases 212-284)
Source: RNAcentral